Molecule: transfer RNA, 165 nt
Filed under: Candidatus Woesearchaeota archaeon
Lineage: Archaea; Nanobdellati; Candidatus Woesearchaeota
Description: tRNA-Glu
Source: RNAcentral
GCCUCGGUGGUGUAGUCCGGUAAACUUUUUGCAAGCAAAAGUUUAAUCAAAAUGCGGUCAAGUGGGAUUAAAAUCCCACGAGCAAUGCUAGAUACAAAAAGUUUGGACAAACUAUCAUCCAGCACUUUCGAUGCUGGGACCCGGGUUCGAAUCCCGGCCGAGGCA